Molecule: ribosomal RNA, 253 nt
Filed under: uncultured bacterium
Lineage: Bacteria
Description: partial 16S ribosomal RNA
Rfam family: Bacterial small subunit ribosomal RNA
Source: RNAcentral
UACGUAGGGACCGAGCGUUGUCCGGAAUCAUUGGGCGUAAAGAGCGUGUAGGCGGCCCCUUAAGUCCUGCGUGAAAUCCUGCGGCUCAACCGCAGACGGUCGUGGGAAACUGGAGGGCUAGAGUGCGGGAGAGGAGAGUGGAAUUCCCGGUGUAGCGGUGAAAUGCGCAGAUAUCGGGAAGAACACCCGUGGCGAAGGCGGCUCUCUGGAACGCAACUGACGCUGAGACGCGAAAGCGUGGGGAGCAAACCGG